AGAGUUUGAUCCUGGCUCAGGAUGAACGCUAGCUACAGGCUUAACACAUGCAAGUCGAGGGGAAACGACAUCGAAAGCUUGCUUUUGAUGGGCGUCGACCGGCGCACGGGUGAGUAACGCGUAUCCAACCUGCCCACCACUUGGGGAUAACCUUGCGAAAGUAAGACUAAUACCCAAUGAUAUCUCUAGAAGACAUCUGAAAGAGAUUAAAGAUUUAUCGGUGAUGGAUGGGGAUGCGUCUGAUUAGCUUGUUGGCGGGGUAACGGCCCACCAAGGCGACGAUCAGUAGGGGUUCUGAGAGGAAGGUCCCCCACAUUGGAACUGAGACACGGUCCAAACUCCUACGGGAGGCAGCAGUGAGGAAUAUUGGUCAAUGGACGAGAGUCUGAACCAGCCAAGUAGCGUGCAGGAUGACGGCCCUAUGGGUUGUAAACUGCUUUUAUAAGGGAAUAAAGUGAGCCUCGUGAGGCUUUUUGCAUGUACCUUAUGAAUAAGGACCGGCUAAUUCCGUGCCAGCAGCCGCGGUAAUACGGAAGGUCCGGGCGUUAUCCGGAUUUAUUGGGUUUAAAGGGAGCGUAGGCCGGAGAUUAAGCGUGUUGUGAAAUGUAGACGCUCAACGUCUGCACUGCAGCGCGAACUGGUUUCCUUGAGUACGCACAAAGUGGGCGGAAUUCGUGGUGUAGCGGUGAAAUGCUUAGAUAUCACGAAGAACUCCGAUUGCGAAGGCAGCUCACUGGAGCGCAACUGACGCUGAAGCUCGAAAGUGCGGGUAUCGAACAGGAUUAGAUACCCUGGUAGUCNGCACGGUAAACGAUGGAUGCCCGCUGUUGGUCUGAAUAGGUCAGCGGCCAAGCGAAAGCAUUAAGCAUCCCACCUGGGGAGUACGCCGGCAACGGUGAAA
This 901-nucleotide ribosomal RNA is filed under the name uncultured bacterium. RNAcentral describes it as "bacterial SSU rRNA". It matches the Rfam family "Bacterial small subunit ribosomal RNA", at positions 8 to 899 of the family's 1533-position model. The record is from RNAcentral.